RNAcentral lists this ribosomal RNA (1177 nucleotides) under uncultured fungus. RNAcentral describes it as "eukaryotic LSU rRNA". The stretch from base 545 to 1177 matches the Rfam family "Eukaryotic large subunit ribosomal RNA", at positions 1 to 649 of the family's 3401-position model. Lineage: Eukaryota; Fungi. The record is from RNAcentral.
AGUAAAAGUCGUAACAAGGUCGCUGUAGGUGAACCUGCAGCGGGAUCAUUACCGGGAGUGAGGCGAGGGGCCCCCCCCUCCGCCUCGGGAGCCAACCGCUCCAACUCUUCACCCUGUGGUGACCCCGGGCGGGCGCUUCGCGCGGCCGCCGGCGNCGACUACUAUUCGUUGUAUCCGUGCCGUCCGAGCAAGAAUCGAAAUCGUACAAAACUUUCAACAACGGAUCUCUUGGUUCUGGCAUCGAUGAAGAACGCAGCGAAAUGCGAUAAGUAAUGUGAAUUGCAGAAUUCAGCGAAUCAUCGAAUCUUUGAACGCACAUUGCGCCCCCCGGCAUUCCGGGGGGCAUGCCUGUCCGAGCGUCAUUGCACCCCUCGAGCCCGGGCGGCUUGGUGUUGGGCCCCGCCCCCCCCCGUCCACGCCGGACGGNGGGCGCGCCCGAAAAAGCAGUGGCGGCCCCGGGGGCGACUCACGCGCAGUAACAGUGUUCGCGGACGAAGUGUUUGCCCGCGGCCCUGCCAGGCAACCCCUCAUUCGUUUUCACGGUUGACCUCGGAUCAGGUAGGGAUACCCGCUGAACUUAAGCAUAUCAAUAAGCGGAGGAAAAGAAACCAACAGGGAUUGCCUCAGUAACGGCGAGUGGAGCGGCAACAGCUCAAAUUUGAAAUCUGACCCCGUCGGGGCCCGAGUUGUAAUUUGCAGAGGGUGCUUCGGGCGCGGCGCCGGUCUAAGUGCCUUGGAACAGGACGUCGCAGAGGGUGAGAACCCCGUGCGCGGCCGGCCGCCCACCCCGGGUGAAGCCCCUUCGACGAGUCGAGUUGUUUGGGAAUGCAGCUCUAAACGGGUGGUAAAUUUCAUCUAAAGCUAAAUACCGGCCAGAGACCGAUAGCGCACAAGUAGAGUGAUCGAAAGAUGAAAAGCACUUUGGAAAGAGAGUUAAACAGCACGUGAAAUUGUUGAAAGGGAAGCGCUUGCCGCCAGACCUGCCCGCGGGCGCUCACCCGCCAUUCGUGGCGGGGCACUCGCCCGCGACCAGGCCAGCACGGGUUCGGGCGGCGGGAGAAAGGGCCCGGGAAUGUAGCUCCCUUCGGGGUGCCUUAUAGCCCGGGCCGCCAUGCCGCUCGCCCGGACCGAGGACCGCGCUCCGGCGAGGGUGCUGGCGUAAUGGCGGCAAGCGACC